UUGGUUUUGCCUUCAUAUGUGCUUCACUUUGUAGAAUUAUCAAGUGUUGAGCCUUCUCAUGUAUUGUUCUAGGCUUCUAGCAAAUGAUCUGCUAUGUAAAUUUAGCUCCUCAAAUCUUGCCACUUCAUUUUCUUACUCCUGUUAUUAUUUAUUUAUUUUUUUAGCUUGUUUGAAAUGUUUAAAUCAUGACUCCAGAAGCAAGCUUCUGUAGCAAUAUUUGUAAAUGACUUGUUAUGAAGCUGACAUUCAUGCUGAAAUUAACAUUAUUCUUUUCUGAAAUAUAGACAUGGAGUUCAGAUUUAUGCCUCCUGAAUUUGGUAUUUGAGAAAUUCUGUGCUGGAAUAUUGAACAUUCUAUAUGAUAUUAUUCUCCAUAACAUCAUUAUUGUUUGUAUUGGAAAUGAAAGGGAGUUCUUUGAACAGUCAAUUUUUUUUCUCAACAUGAUUGAUGGUUUUGCUUUAGCUGAUUCAGAAAACUAUAAGAGCAUUCAUAACAUAGAGGAGAAGACAAUACUGACAGAGAGAGUCAUAAAAUCAGCUGCAACUGUGGACAGAUUAUUACAUCCAGUGGGAAAUGAAGGAAGAACUCAUGCCGAACUUUUCAGAAUUUGCUUCUUACAAUAAAUAAUCACCUAUAAUUGGGGCAGACGUCAGACUCAAAAACAAAUUGAAAAAAUUGGAUCAGAAGAAGACCAUUGAUGCUGGGAAUUUUGAGGGUACAAUCGCACUGAUCAAGGAAAGGUCAGAGGAAGAUGUCUAUUACCCAGUUGGGGUUCAAGGUGUUGGGUUUAGGCCUAUGAAACAUUGUCAUAAACACAGCAUCAAUACCCUUCCCUUGGUUCAUUGUAUGUUUAUCUGUUUUAGCAACAAAUUGAUACAAUUUUUUUUUUUGGUAUUUGUUUUAGCAAACCAAAUUGGUGAGUACUAAUGGUGCUCAGUAUAGUAAGUAAUCACUCUGAGGGAAGUAUUAGUGGGGAAAUACUUUGACCACUGAGCAGUUAGCAUUGUGUUUGAUUUGAUCAUGUGGGUCAUCAAAGAACAUGAAACCGUAUAAGAUACUGAUGGUCUUUAGUCUAAUUGAUUAAUUGUCUGAUCUGGUGAUU
This is a long non-coding RNA of Argentina anserina (silverweed cinquefoil), 1102 nucleotides long. RefSeq lists it as uncharacterized. NCBI's taxonomy places the organism in Eukaryota, Viridiplantae, Streptophyta, Magnoliopsida, Rosales, Rosaceae. The record is from RefSeq and is a predicted model, not a curated record. The transcript is spliced from 3 exons.